AAAUUGAAGAGUUUGAUCAUGGCUCAGAUUGAACGCUGGCGGCAGGCCUAACACAUGCAAGUCGAACGGUAACAGGAAGCAGCUUGCUGCUUUGCUGACGAGUGGCGGACGGGUGAGUAAUGUCUGGGAAACUGCCUGAUGGAGGGGGAUAACUACUGGAAACGGUAGCUAAUACCGCAUAACGUCGCAAGACCAAAGAGGGGGACCUUCGGGCCUCUUGCCAUCGGAUGUGCCCAGAUGGGAUUAGCUUGUUGGUGGGGUAACGGCUCACCAAGGCGACGAUCCCUAGCUGGUCUGAGAGGAUGACCAGCCACACUGGAACUGAGACACGGUCCAGACUCCUACGGGAGGCAGCAGUGGGGAAUAUUGCACAAUGGGCGCAAGCCUGAUGCAGCCAUGCCGCGUGUAUGAAGAAGGCCUUCGGGUUGUAAAGUACUUUCAGCGGGGAGGAAGGGAGUAAAGUUAAUACCUUUGCUCAUUGACGUUACCCGCAGAAGAAGCACCGGCUAACUCCGUGCCAGCAGCCGCGGUAAUACGGAGGGUGCAAGCGUUAAUCGGAAUUACUGGGCGUAAAGCGCACGCAGGCGGUUUGUUAAGUCAGAUGUGAAAUCCCCGGGCUCAACCUGGGAACUGCAUCUGAUACUGGCAAGCUUGAGUCUCGUAGAGGGGGGUAGAAUUCCAGGUGUAGCGGUGAAAUGCGUAGAGAUCUGGAGGAAUACCGGUGGCGAAGGCGGCCCCCUGGACGAAGACUGACGCUCAGGUGCGAAAGCGUGGGGAGCAAACAGGAUUAGAUACCCUGGUAGUCCACGCCGUAAACGAUGUCGACUUGGAGGUUGUGCCCUUGAGGCGUGGCUUCCGGAGCUAACGCGUUAAGUCGACCGCCUGGGGAGUACGGCCGCAAGGUUAAAACUCAAAUGAAUUGACGGGGGCCCGCACAAGCGGUGGAGCAUGUGGUUUAAUUCGAUGCAACGCGAAGAACCUUACCUGGUCUUGACAUCCACGGAAGUUUUCAGAGAUGAGAAUGUGCCUUCGGGAACCGUGAGACAGGUGCUGCAUGGCUGUCGUCAGCUCGUGUUGUGAAAUGUUGGGUUAAGUCCCGCAACGAGCGCAACCCUUAUCCUUUGUUGCCAGCGGUCCGGCCGGGAACUCAAAGGAGACUGCCAGUGAUAAACUGGAGGAAGGUGGGGAUGACGUCAAGUCAUCAUGGCCCUUACGACCAGGGCUACACACGUGCUACAAUGGCGCAUACAAAGAGAAGCGACCUCGCGAGAGCAAGCGGACCUCAUAAAGUGCGUCGUAGUCCGGAUUGGAGUCUGCAACUCGACUCCAUGAAGUCGGAAUCGCUAGUAAUCGUGGAUCAGAAUGCCACGGUGAAUACGUUCCCGGGCCUUGUACACACCGCCCGUCACACCAUGGGAGUGGGUUGCAAAAGAAGUAGGUAGCUUAACCUUCGGGAGGGCGCUUACCACUUUGUGAUUCAUGACUGGGGUGAAGUCGUAACAAGGUAACCGUAGGGGAACCUGCGGUUGGA
This 1531-nucleotide ribosomal RNA is filed under the name Escherichia coli. Its description in RNAcentral is "bacterial SSU rRNA". It matches the Rfam family "Bacterial small subunit ribosomal RNA". The record is from RNAcentral. Lineage: Bacteria; Pseudomonadati; Pseudomonadota; Gammaproteobacteria; Enterobacterales; Enterobacteriaceae.